UGGGGAAUUUUGGACAAUGGGCGAAAGCCUGAUCCAGCAAUGCCGUGUGUGUGAAGAAGGCCUUCGGGUUGUAAAGCACUUUUGUCCGGAAAGAAAUCCUUGGCUCUAAUACAGUCGGGGGAUGACGGUACCGGAAGAAUAAGCACCGGCUAACUACGUGCCAGCAGCCGCGGUAAUACGUAGGGUGCAAGCGUUAAUCGGAAUUACUGGGCGUAAAGCGUGCGCAGGCGGUUUGCUAAGACCGAUGUGAAAUCCCCGGGCUCAACCUGGGAACUGCAUUGGUGACUGGCAGGCUAGAGUAUGGCAGAGGGGGGUAGAAUUCCACGUGUAGCAGUGAAAUGCGUAGAGAUGUGGGGGAAUACCGAUGGCGAAGGCAGCCCCCUGGGCCAAUACUGACGCUCAUGCACGAAAGCGUGGGGAGCAAAACAGGAUUAGAUACCCUGGUAGUCCACGCCCUAAACGAUGUCAACUAGUUGUUGGGGAUUCAUUUCCUUAGUAACGUAGCUAACGCGUGAAGUUGACCGCCUGGGGAGUACGGUCGCAAGAUUAAAACUUAAAUGAAUUGACGGGGUCAUAGCUGUUUCCU
RNAcentral lists this ribosomal RNA (586 nucleotides) under uncultured bacterium. Its description in RNAcentral is "partial 16S ribosomal RNA". It matches the Rfam family "Bacterial small subunit ribosomal RNA", at positions 355 to 1375 of the family's 1533-position model. The record is from RNAcentral.